UGGAUCGAUGAUGACCACUGGUGGCGUACGCGUCCCGGACGGUGACUAACUGUGGUAGUCUGAGGUCCGG
This is a small nucleolar RNA of Cavia aperea (Brazilian guinea pig), 70 nucleotides long. Lineage: Eukaryota; Metazoa; Chordata; Mammalia; Rodentia; Caviidae. The record is from Ensembl.